Molecule: long non-coding RNA, 935 nt
Filed under: Triticum aestivum (bread wheat)
Lineage: Eukaryota; Viridiplantae; Streptophyta; Magnoliopsida; Poales; Poaceae
Description: long non-coding RNA (TAES_LNC010416)
Source: RNAcentral
GGUCAAAUCUGUGUGGCGGUGGGGGUGGCGGACGGUGAAAUUGCACUCUAACAGACGCAAGCUUCGGAAUAGUCUGAGUAGAUCGGCCCAAAAGCGCCUAGAUGGACACAAAGGUUUGGAGUCAUCGUGUUAGUUCAGAAUUUUUUUCAGAAAGUUUUUGGUGUCGUACAAGAGUGCAAGGAUGAUGGGAUGACUGCAGUGCGUGGCAACAUGAAAAAUGUAGAUAAAACAGUGUUGGUCAGAUGGAUAUUCAAUCUCUGCACCCCUGAAAAUACAGAGAACAUAUUCAUAUUCUGGCCGUUUUGAAAUAGUUCAGAUGUGUAUGUUGUCUGUUGCAUAUAUGCAGUUCAGUAAAAAUGCUGAUUCAUUCUUGAACGGAACUAUUUAGUAGCAACCUGUCCGGACCGUGGGGAAGCUCCAGAACAAGCUGGUCGACCAACUUGAUGCAAGAACUGUGGAGUAGAGGGUCAGCGACGAAACAAAUGAAACAAAGCAGCGGAGCUAAGACUGAAAAGGGACUGAAAAAUGAUGCAUGGUUGACGUAAAACAAAAUGCAGGGGAACCAAUGGAGCUAAGGCUAGAGAGCAGCUGAAAUUUAGUUAUCCUUUACUGCAAUGUCAAUUUGAUGGCGUGUAUAAUUAGCAGGAGUGGUGCAAACAUACUGUAACAUGUGUGAGCAUCAUGCAAAUCCGUUUGCGCUGAAUAAACCUCGACUUUUAUAUAGUGUAACAUCGACCUGACUUCUGUGUGAGAUGCAUGAUGCAGUUUAGCUGCUCAUAUUUCUGAACAUGUUAUGCAUGCCCUGAACCAUAUGAAUAAAAUGCAAGGACUCCUUUCCCUUCUGGACGCCCAGGUUUUAGUUAACCUUUUUUUUGAAGUUUCACUUUGCUGGCGUGUAUGAUCAGAAGUGGCGGAUCAAAAAUACCGUGAUCUAU